This 497-nucleotide ribosomal RNA is filed under the name uncultured bacterium. Its description in RNAcentral is "partial 16S ribosomal RNA". It matches the Rfam family "Bacterial small subunit ribosomal RNA", at positions 28 to 507 of the family's 1533-position model. The record is from RNAcentral.
GAUGAACGCUGGCGGCGUGCCUAAUACAUGCAAGUCGAGCGAACGGACGAGAAGCUUGCUUCUCUGAUGUUAGCGGCGGACGGGUGAGUAACACGUGGAUAACCUACCUAUAAGACUGGGAUAACUUCGGGAAACCGUAGCUAAUACCGGAUAAUAUUUUGAACCGCAUGGUUCAAAAGUGAAAGACGGUCUUGCUGUCACUUAUAGAUGGAUCCGCGCUGCAUUAGCUAGUUGGUAAGGUAACGGCUUACCAAGGCAACGAUGCAUAGCCGACCUGAGAGGGUGAUCGGCCACACUGGAACUGAGACACGGUCCAGACUCCUACGGGAGGCAGCAGUAGGGAAUCUUCGGCAAUGGGCGAAAGCCUGACGGAGCAACGCCGCGUGAGUGAUGAAGGUCUUCGGAUCGUAAAACUCUGUUAUUAGGGAAGAACAUAUGUGUAAGUAACUGUGCACAUCUUGACGGUACCUAAUCAGAAAGCCACGGCUAACUACGUG